AGUGAACGCUGGCGGUAGGCCUAACACAUGCAAGUCGAACGGCAGCACAGUAAGAGCUUGCUCUUACGGGUGGCGAGUGGCGGACGGGUGAGGAAUACAUCGGAAUCUACUUUUUCGUGGGGGAUAACGUAGGGAAACUUACGCUAAUACCGCAUACGACCUACGGGUGAAAGCAGGGGAUCUUCGGACCUUGCGCGAUUGAAUGAGCCGAUGUCGGAUUAGCUAGUUGGCGGGGUAAAGGCCCACCAAGGCGACGAUCCGUAGCUGGUCUGAGAGGAUGAUCAGCCUCACUGGAACUGAGACACGGUCCAGACUCCUACGGGAGGCAGCAGUGGGGAAUAUUGGACAAUGGGCGUAAGCCUGAUCCAGCCAUACCGCGUGGGUGAAGAAGGCCUUCGGGUUGUAAAGCCCUUUUGUUGGGAAAGAAAAGCAGCAGGUUAAUACCCCGCUGUUCUGACGGUACCCAAAGAAUAAGCACCGGCUAACUUCGUG
Molecule: ribosomal RNA, 492 nt
Filed under: uncultured bacterium
Lineage: Bacteria
Description: partial 16S ribosomal RNA
Rfam family: Bacterial small subunit ribosomal RNA
Source: RNAcentral